GGUUACGGCGAACGGCUGAAGGAAGAAGCUAAUGGCGGGAGAAGAGGUUGCUGGUCCGGCGGGCCCUAAGGCUCUCCGUUUCCUCUAUUUCGCCAGCGCCGGAUUCAUUUUCACCAUCGCGAUAAACAAGUGGCGGGAGAUCGAACGCAAUUCGCUGUUGAAACAACAGCAGAAGCAGCGGUCGAAUCAUCAAUUAUCGGAAGCUCGUAAUGAUGCGGUGCAGAAAGUCGUCGAGUGAUUACAGGGGUUCUUUUCAAGGAUCUUAAGAUGCUUUCAGCUCAACAGUUAAAGUCCCUCAUUUUCCACCAGAUUAUCUAUGUUUUUUAGCGGUGCUGCUAGGUGGAUUUGAGCCAGUACCAAGGAAAUGGUGCCUCUGUCAAUAGUACUGUUUCUUCUUCCUUCAUCCCUAAUCCAGCCAUCUCUCUGUCUCUAAUCUCUAUUAUAUGUACAAGUUCUUUAUGCUCUGAAGGAAACUUCAUUUUCAACUUGUACUACCAAAAGCGUAACUAGAAUAAAUUUCUCCUUUUC
RNAcentral lists this unclassified non-coding RNA (528 nucleotides) under Hevea brasiliensis (rubber tree). The record is from RNAcentral. Lineage: Eukaryota; Viridiplantae; Streptophyta; Magnoliopsida; Malpighiales; Euphorbiaceae.